AUUGAACGCUGGCGGCAGGCCUAACACAUGCAAGUCGAGCGGUAACAGGAGAAAGCUUGCUUUCUUGCUGACGAGCGGCGGACGGGUGAGUAAUGUAUGGGGAUCUGCCCGAUAGAGGGGGAUAACUACUGGAAACGGUGGCUAAUACCGCAUAAUGUCUACGGACCAAAGCAGGGGCUCUUCGGACCUUGCACUAUCGGAUGAACCCAUAUGGGAUUAGCUAGUAGGUGGGGUAAAGGCUCACCUAGGCGACGAUCUCUAGCUGGUCUGAGAGGAUGAUCAGCCACACUGGGACUGAGACACGGCCCAGACUCCUACGGGAGGCAGCAGUGGGGAAUAUUGCACAAUGGGCGCAAGCCUGAUGCAGCCAUGCCGCGUGUAUGAAGAAGGCCUUAGGGUUGUAAAGUACUUUCAGCGGGGAGGAAGGUGAUAAGGUUAAUACCCUUAUCAAUUGACGUUACCCGCAGAAGAAGCACCGGCUA
Molecule: ribosomal RNA, 482 nt
Filed under: Proteus sp. G10
Lineage: Bacteria; Pseudomonadati; Pseudomonadota; Gammaproteobacteria; Enterobacterales; Morganellaceae
Description: bacterial SSU rRNA
Rfam family: Bacterial small subunit ribosomal RNA
Source: RNAcentral